This 29-nucleotide non-coding RNA is filed under the name Bombyx mori (domestic silkworm). The record is from RNAcentral. Lineage: Eukaryota; Metazoa; Arthropoda; Insecta; Lepidoptera; Bombycidae.
UCCAGGAAGUCAUUAGUGUAGCCACAAUC